This 827-nucleotide ribosomal RNA is filed under the name uncultured marine euryarchaeote. RNAcentral describes it as "bacterial SSU rRNA". It matches the Rfam family "Archaeal small subunit ribosomal RNA", at positions 78 to 907 of the family's 1478-position model. Lineage: Archaea; Methanobacteriati; Methanobacteriota. The record is from RNAcentral.
UUUGCAUACUGCUCAGUAACACGUGGAUAACCUGCCCUACACUGGGGGAUAAUCUCGGGAAACUGAGCAUAAUACCCCAUAGACCACUACGCCUGGAACGGUGAGUGGUUGAAAGCUCAGGCGGUGUAGGAUGGGUCUGCGGCGUAUCAGGUCGUAGGGGGUGUAAUGGACCUCCUAGCCAUCGACGCGUACGGGUUGUGGGAGCAAUAGCCCGGAGACGGAUUCUGAGACACGAAUCCGGACCCUACGGGGUGCAGCAGGCGCGAAAACUUCACACUGCAGGAAACUGUGAUGAGGGAACUCCAAGUGACUGCCCAAUGGGUAGCCUUUUCUUGAAUCUUAAUAGUUCUUGGAAUAAGGGCUGGGAAAGACCGGUGCCAGCCGCCGCGGUAAUACCGGCAGCUCAAGUGGUCGUCGCUUUUAUCGGGCCUAAAACGUCCGUAGCCUGUUUGGUAAAUCUGUGGGUAAAUCAACGAGCUUAACUCGUUGAAUUCUGCAGAGACUGCCAGACUAGGGACCGGGAGAGGUAUGAGGUACUCUGGGGGUAGGGGUAAAAUCCUGUCAUCCUCAGAGGACCACCUGUUGUGAAGGCGUCAUACUGGAACGGAUCCGACGGUCAGGGACGAAGCCUAGGGGCACGAACCGGAUUAGAUACCCGGGUAGUCCUAGGUGUAAACGCUGUGGAUUUUGGUGUGUGGGGUCCGCAAUGGGCCCCAUGUGCCGGAGUGAAGAUGUUAAAUCCACUGCCUGGGGAGUACGGUCGCGAGGCUGAAACUUAAAGGAAUUGGCGGGGGAGCACUGCAACGGGAGGAGCGUGCGGUUUAAUU